UUCUGAAAAAUUUAUGAAAAUACAUUUUUUUUUAGAUUGUAAUUGAUAAAUCAAAUGCAAAUGUCUAAUUGAAAUUGGGAUUGUUUUCAACAAAAUAAAUUCACGAACAAGUGACGAUAAGAGCCGAAAACAUCCGAAGAUGCUCUUGAUAUAAAUAAACAUUAAAUUUUAAUAAAUUGAUAAAUUGACAUAACCAGUAAACAAAUGUCUUAAGUAAUAAUAGAAAAAAUGUUGUGGUUUUUUAUUAUUUCAAUAUUUUCAACAUUCAAAUUUGUAUCCGCUUCUGGCGAUUUUGAUUUUGGCGACACACUGGCACUUAUUUUGGGAUUAUCUAUCGGAAUUGUUGCAUUUUUUGCCUGUAUGGGAGCUUAUGCUCGUCGAAGAGGUCAAUUUGAGACUUUAUGAGUUUGCUUUAUUGAUUUUUGAUAUUAAGAUGAAACGACUGACAACAAAAAAUGAGAUCUGAAAAACGUCUUCCCAUAUUAGUAUAAUCAAAAUUUUUUGUAUUGACAUUUCUAAAAAAAAUAUUUAACUAUGAAAAUAAAUAUUUUAUUUUGGUAA
Molecule: long non-coding RNA, 561 nt
Organism: Cotesia glomerata
Lineage: Eukaryota; Metazoa; Arthropoda; Insecta; Hymenoptera; Braconidae
Exons: 2
Source: RefSeq, a predicted model, not a curated record